UCCAUCCAGGAGAAGUCUGUCUUCUGCAGUGACUGUAAGUUGUCUUUUCAAAUAUUGAAGAUGAUGUUGAGUCCAUACAUUGAUAUCACAGACAUGUGCACAAAGUAACAACAAUUACAAUGGCGACUGUUUGACAAGAUGAACAACUAAGAGGGUCUGACAACUUGGCAACCUACACGCCAUAAUCAUGCAUUCCACCUGCUAUUUUCCAAAUCAAAACAUCAGGGCUACAUUGCUCCUUGUCUGUGAUCAAUUUGAGGGAGUAUCACCCAAACCAUGCCGAAGAAAACAAGUGAAUCUGUGAGUGAAACUGAGCCUCCUCCUGUACUAUCGCCACAGGCUACACUACACGGCGAAGUUGCGUCAAUUUCCGACACCGAGCGAGAGACAUUUGAAAGCUGAAAUUCGUGCUGGGCAUGUGGAAUUGCGUGAUCGUGAAGACAACUUGGAAGCCAACAUCAACGAAACAAUAGAGUUCUAGAGUAAGCUUAUCGGUGAUCUAGAAUCCAAGAUGGUUGACCAUGAUCUGCUUGUAUCGAAGAUGGCAAAGGCAGAGAAAAUCAUCGCGGAUCAGGCACAGCAACUCAACAAGCUGGAACACUUCUCCUGCAGGAAUAAUUUGAGAAUUAUUGGCCAGCCACAAAAACCCGGAGAGGACUGCUUAGCCCAGCAAAGAAGCUAUUGAGUGACAAGUUCGACAUGGCCGAAGUUAAGCUGGAAAGAGCUCAUCUCAAUGACCCCAAAUCUGAUGGGAAAUCGCAACACCUACUGAUGAAGUUAAAUUGCUACCAGGAUAAAAUCUCGAUCCUACAGCGGCAACACCAAGUCUUGUCCAGCAAGCCAUUCUACUGCACAGAUGACCUGACCAAGAUCAAUCUCAAUGAAAAGAGACCGUGGUCUGCACAUGCUGCUUAAGCCUAUCAAGAAGGCAUCAAGUACCAUUCUGUGGCUGCAAUCCUGGCAGGAGGAACUCCCUUGUGUUGGCUGCAUCAGAGGCUCCGCUACAAAAUGCUGACCAACCAUAGAGGGCGCUAUUACCAUUCCAUGAAGCCUGCUACAUCCCACAAUGGUGUAAUGGAAAGAGGGAAAAAAGAACUGAACCCUGCCUGAAUUCCCUAAUUUACAGCACAGCAGUAGCGCCCCCACUCAUCCAGAAAAGCUGACAAAUGUUAAUGUCUAUAGCAAGAUACUGAAAACAGUAAAAUAUUUUCUAAAUUGAAAAAUUCAGAGGACGUGACGUUUCAAUCCUAGCAGAAUCUUUCUCCAAGUUAUGUGUUCAAGUUUCAACCAACACAGUUGAAUUUUUAGUGACAUGUACGAUAUAAAACUGAGCAUUUGGAAGUAUAAAUAUAAAAAGGUUUGCAAAUAUGUUUGACCUAAAAUAUAGUGAAAUACAUGCAAGGUCUGAAUAUUUAGUGUAUUCUCCCUUUCUUAACACAUUGAAAUUUGUUUUUGUUAUUUAAAUACAUGCAAAUGUGCUGUGCCCUCUGACCUUUUUUGAAA
Long non-coding RNA from Acanthaster planci (crown-of-thorns starfish), 1503 nucleotides. The record is from RefSeq and is a predicted model, not a curated record. NCBI's taxonomy places the organism in Eukaryota, Metazoa, Echinodermata, Asteroidea, Valvatida, Acanthasteridae.